GCAGUGGGUACGGGCAAACUAAAGUGCGGUAAGGGAGAUUGGAAUUCCUGGUGUAGCGGUGGAAUGCGCAAAUAUCAGGAGGAACACCAAUGGCGAAGGCAGAUCUCUGGGCCGUAACUGACGCUGAGGAGCGAAAGCGUGGGGAGCGAACAGGAUUAGAUACCCUGGUAGUCCACGCCGUAAACGGUGGGAACUAAAUGUGGGGUCCGUUCCACGGAUUCCGUGUCGCAGCUAACGCAUUAAGUUCCCCGCCUGGGGAGUACGGCCGCAAGGCUAAAACUCAAAGGAAUUGACGGGGGCCCGCACAAGCGGCGGAGCAUGCGGAUUAAUUCUAUGCAACGCGAAGAACCUUACCAAGGCUUGACAUAUACAGGAAAAGUGUAUAAAUACACUCCCCGCAAGGUCUCUAUACAGGUGGUGCAUGGUUGUCGUCAGCUCGUGUCGUGAGAUGUUGGGUUAAGUCCCGCAACGAGCGCAACCCUCGUCCUAUGUUGCCAGCACGUAAUGGUGGGAACUCAUGGGAUACUGCCGGGUGUCAACUCGGAGGAAGGUGGGGAUGACGUCAAAUCAUCAUGCCGCUUAUGUCUUGUGCUUCUCGCAUGCUACUAUGGUCGGUACAGAGGGCAGCUAUACCGCAAGGUGGAGCGAAUCCCAUAAAGCCGGUCUCAGUUCUGAUUGAGGUCUGCAACUCGACCGUCAUGAAGAUGGGAGUCGCUAGUAAUUCGUGCAUCAGCAACGGCACGGUUGAUACGGUUCCCGGCCUUUGUACACCA
Molecule: ribosomal RNA, 773 nt
Filed under: uncultured bacterium
Lineage: Bacteria
Description: bacterial SSU rRNA
Rfam family: Bacterial small subunit ribosomal RNA
Source: RNAcentral